AGAGUUUGAUCAUGGCUCAGAACGAACGUUGGCGGCGUGGAUUAGGCAUGCAAGUCGAACGAAUCCCCGGGGCAACCUGGGGGGAAGUGGCGAAAGGGGCAGUAAGGCGUAGGUAACCUACCCCGGGGACGGGCAUAGCCGUCCUAACGGACGGGUAAUUCCUGGCGAUCAGGCGUGACGGCAUCGUCGUGUCUGGAAAUGAGUUUCGCCUCGGGAGGGGCCUACGUGAUAUUAGCUUGUUGGCGGGGUAACGGCCCACCAAGGCUGAGAUGUCUAGCGGGUGUGAGAGCACGACCCGCGCCACUGGCACUGAGACACUGGCCAGACACCUACGGGUGGCUGCAGUCGAGGAUCUUCGGCAAUGGGCGCAAGCCUGACCGAGCGACGCCGCGUGCGCGACGAAGGCCUUCGGGUUGUAAAGCGCUUUGGCGGGGGAGGAAAGCCGAAAGGUCUGACCUAUCCCGAGAACAAGCACGGGCUAAGUUCGUGCCAGCAGCCGCGGUAAUAC
RNAcentral lists this ribosomal RNA (508 nucleotides) under uncultured bacterium. RNAcentral describes it as "bacterial SSU rRNA". It matches the Rfam family "Bacterial small subunit ribosomal RNA", at positions 8 to 526 of the family's 1533-position model. The record is from RNAcentral.